AAGUGGGCAAAUAUCCUAGGAAAGAGGAAAAAGAAAGUGGCAGAAUAACAACGGAUUUUCAUCUACAAAGUUGCCAACAGCCACCCAAAGGUAGGAGAAAACUCAAUUCAGAAAAGUUCCAACGGAGAUGUCCUGCUUAGCUCAGGCAAUUCGAAUGCACGUCUGAAGCAUCCCGAGACCCGUUUAUCCACGGGAGAAUGAAAGAAAUCCCCUCCACACCACGUGGAUGUAAGGACAUUAGGUGCCAAACUUGGACCCUUUGGCGUGGGCGUUGUUGUCCCUGAUUGUUGCGGGUGCGACAAAGGACUCAUCGGAAGAUCUAGAGGCUUCGAAAAUGGGCGUACAUCAUAUACUCUUGCUACUGCAUUCCAUAUUCACAAUCCCCAUUCAGUUGGCCUGGUUAUGAAGAAGCUUGUCCCACCCUCGACCAGAGACCUUCCACUGUCCCAUGGGAAGAGGAUUCCACCACUUGGGAGGGAGCUUUACCGAAGAAAUAUACAGUUCCCAAAACGGUCUCUGUCUAAAAGCAAAAGCAAAAACGAAUUGAAGGGGAUCCUUGAACAUUGGCCAAGAAGUGCCUAUAGGCAACCAAGUCUUCAGUUAUGGAUCAAGGUUUAGCCUACGUAUAUGGGUGCGCAUUUCAGCAAUAUAUUAGUCAGUCGUCGAUGACAGGUCUACUGGAUAGAUGGCUUUGAAUUUCUUUAUAGGUAUAUGACAAGGGAGCACUCAUUGAAAAACCUGCCACUUUUAUUUGUCAUAUCGGUGUCUUUAAAGUGUUAAAGACGUAAUAACAUUGACAUGUCGUUAGAUCGACUAUUUGGUAUGUACUAAGGUUACUUCAAGCGCAUGUAAUAACGAACAUCGAAAAGCCUAUCAGAAGAACUGUAUGCAUGAAUAUACUCAUUGUGAUAACCAGCAACAAUAAAAAAAAAUGUCGAUGUUUAUUAUCAGCUUCCUCCUUUUUCAAUGAUUCAAUAGGCUCAUCCACCCAAUUUCUUCCACAACAAUAAAAAAGAGUGUUUGUUAACUUGGUCCGAACUUGUCAUGUUCACACAUGUAUGUAAAAGUGAUGUAGGAAAAAUAAAGAUUUUAAUAUUAAUGAUUAUAAAGCUUCCGCGCUGAUGAUUGGCGAAGCGAAUUAGUUCAUGAUUUCGUGAACCCGUAACAAUUCCACGUGUUUCAAGCAUUCCCAAUCCAAUCGAUUUAGUGCGUUUGUUAUUGGUAAUCAUAGAAUCAGAAUCAUGUAUGCAUUUAUUCCAUUGACCGAAAAAAUGCAUACUGAAAGGUUCCAGGCACUAACCCAAGGUUGGAGUAGAACACAAAAGGCCUAAUGAAUCUGAGGGAAGAGGGGUGAUCUUCGAAUUGAUCAGUAACAAUUAGAAAGCCUUUCCAGGACGGUCCGCUUCGUUUUAUC
Molecule: long non-coding RNA, 1414 nt
Organism: Tigriopus californicus
Lineage: Eukaryota; Metazoa; Arthropoda; Copepoda; Harpacticoida; Harpacticidae
Exons: 5
Source: RefSeq, a predicted model, not a curated record